CAGUCGCCGCGGUAAUACGGAGGGGGCUAGCGUUGUUCGGAAUUACUGGGCGUAAAGCGUACGUAGGCGGCUUUGUAAGUUAGAGGUGAAAGCCUGGUGCUCAACACCAGAACUGCCUUCAAGACUGCAUCGCUUGAACGUCGGAGAGGUGAGUGGAAUUCCGAGUGUAGAGGUGAAAUUCGUAGAUAUCCGGAAGAACACCAGUGGCGAAGGCGGCUCACUGGACGACUGUUGACGCUGAGGUACGGAAGCGUGGGGAGCAAACAGGAUUAGAUACCCCAGUAGUCCCUGUCUCUUAUAC
RNAcentral lists this ribosomal RNA (301 nucleotides) under uncultured bacterium. RNAcentral's name for it is "partial 16S ribosomal RNA". It matches the Rfam family "Bacterial small subunit ribosomal RNA", at positions 509 to 807 of the family's 1533-position model. The record is from RNAcentral.